AGGACCAGGGUGUUACAUGAAAGAUCAGAACUUGUUUGGUAGCCAAGGAUGACUUGCCCACAUUUCUCUGCUGCUAGCUGCAUCUUACUUACAGAGUUUGUCUGGGCAGUCUCCUUGGUUAUGCUGACAGGUUAUGAUCUCUCAUGUUAUGCCCUUUGUUCU
This 162-nucleotide microRNA precursor is filed under the name Linum usitatissimum (flax). The record is from RNAcentral. Lineage: Eukaryota; Viridiplantae; Streptophyta; Magnoliopsida; Malpighiales; Linaceae.